UUUCCGUAGGUGAACCUGCGGAAGGAUCAUUAUUGUAUAACCGAGGUGCGAGGGCUGUCGCUGACCCGAAAGGUCGUGCACGCCCGAGUGCACUCACACACAUCCAUCUCACCCCUAUGUGCACCACCGCGUGGGUCCCCCUUUGGCUUGUUCGGAGGGGGGCUUACGUGUUCACACAAACUUUGUAUGCAGUGUAGAAUGUAUUUUUUGUUUUUGCGAUCACGCAGUCAAUACAACUUUCAACAACGGAUCUCUUGGCUCUC
This 263-nucleotide unclassified non-coding RNA is filed under the name plant metagenome. RNAcentral's name for it is "partial contains small subunit ribosomal RNA, internal transcribed spacer 1, and 5.8S ribosomal RNA". The record is from RNAcentral.